AGCCUUUGUAUUGUUCCCUUGAGGAGAAAUGCCUUGGGGGUAAUGAAAGAAGAAUCCAGUAGUAGAAAAAUUUCAAGAGCAUAUAGCAGGAUUGGUGAAUGAAGCAACACCAGGGACUUCUCAGCCAUUCUCCAGUGCUCACAAGAAACUAGGAAGAAGACAGGAGUAUAUUUGUUGCCAACAUGAUGGCAAGAGGAAAUUUUGUAAAUUCUGAUUCACCUGACCCAUGCUGAUAUCCUUGGAUGUCAUGGCUUCACUUUCAAGUACUUCUGAAGUAUUGGACUAAUGUACCUGUUGUCCACCUGCAACCUAUCUGCUGUUCAUUAUGCAGGUGAAGACACAUUCAACCAACCAGCAAGAUAAAGGAAGCCAGGGCUACAUCAGCUUUAAUACAACAGAGUAACACGGAAUUUCAAACCC
This 420-nucleotide long non-coding RNA is filed under the name Mus musculus (house mouse). RNAcentral's name for it is "long non-coding RNA chr14:71946793-71947213". The record is from RNAcentral. Lineage: Eukaryota; Metazoa; Chordata; Mammalia; Rodentia; Muridae.